CUAUACUACUAAUAAUGUGCUUGUGUACGUAUAUCUGUCUGUCUGAAGGUGACCCCUGACUCAGAGGUAGCAGAGGGCGUACUGGAGGAUGUGGAUGAAGAAGAAGGUGUUUCGGCCCAAACACCUGGUCUUACUGUGUCAAGUCUCCGUGAUGACCUGGACUGAGUUGACUGUUGAGGAACCAGUCCUCUCUGUCCCUCACCAGCCGGGCCAGAGGGGACAGAGGACAUGCUGGAGGACGUUGGUGAUGGUGGGCGGGAAGAAGAAGAAGAAGAAGAGGACGGGGGCCAAACACUGUCCUUGAUGACCUGGGCAGAGCUGACAACAUGGCAGCUGAGGAACCAGGCCUCACCACCCAGCAGCACCAUUGGAGGGUAUUGUGAUAAAAACUGGCGACAUAUUGAACGGUCGCUAUCAUGUUCUGGACGUCUUGGGUGAAGGAUGCUUCGGCAAAGUUACCAAGUGUGAGGAUAUACACACAGAACAAGUCGUGGCCAUCAAGACCUUAAAAACUCAGGAGAGUGCAGUCACCAAC
Long non-coding RNA from Lates calcarifer (barramundi perch), 535 nucleotides. RefSeq lists it as uncharacterized. The transcript has 3 exons. The record is from RefSeq and is a predicted model, not a curated record. NCBI's taxonomy places the organism in Eukaryota, Metazoa, Chordata, Actinopteri, Centropomidae.